Molecule: long non-coding RNA, 238 nt
Organism: Asparagus officinalis (garden asparagus)
Lineage: Eukaryota; Viridiplantae; Streptophyta; Magnoliopsida; Asparagales; Asparagaceae
Exons: 2
Source: RefSeq, a predicted model, not a curated record
ACUUGAAUACUAAUUUGUUACUUAAUCCCAGUCACUUCCACUUUGUUCAUGAAGCUGUAACAAUUCUGAUGGAGACUACAAUUUUGUUUUUUGGCAUAUUACCUUGGUUCUGGAAGAAAUCUGGAGAGUUGGCAGUGUACAUUGGCUUGAAUGCAGACAAUGAAAUAAUUCACACCCUUUCGUUCUUAGCAAGAGUCGUGAUUUGGUCGCAGGUAUGGAUGUUAAUCAUUCUAAGAGU